Molecule: long non-coding RNA, 1941 nt
Filed under: Macaca fascicularis (crab-eating macaque)
Lineage: Eukaryota; Metazoa; Chordata; Mammalia; Primates; Cercopithecidae
Description: lncRNA (ENSMFAG00000065143.1)
Source: RNAcentral
UUUUUUUUUUUUUUUUUUUUUUGCCAGGAAAGCAUUUUAAAAAUUGAAUCAGAUUUUUGAGUGUAAGCAUGUACUUUCAAGCUCACUACAUUUCUCACGUUCUAUAUCAGCAUAUUCCUAUUUAUUCAUUACUUAUCCAGCCCCUGAAGGCAUUUGAGUUUGCAGCCUUUGGGGUAAGGUCUUUUGGCAUGUGAUAGAGGCUGCCAGAUUUUCAGAGUGAAAUGUGUUAGGCCAAGGAAAACGAUGCUUACAACCAUCUUAGUAACACUAGAAGGUCAAGGUCACACACCUGACCUUUCAGUUUCAUUUGUCCACUAAGUGUACCCCAUUAGAAGACCCAUAUGUCAUAAAUUUUACUGCCACAAAUUAUAGGGUCAGAUCAUUUGCCACUUUGUUCUCCACCCUUGGCUGUCCUGGGAGGCUAAGGGUUGUUUCUCUUUCUCAGUACAUUGGGAAGUGUUUGUCUCAAUGGCUUUUAAUGGGUGGGCAAGACUCACCUUUAGUCUUCACGUGUACGUGGGUCAUGUGGCUAAGAGGGUAGUUUGGGUCAAGACUCAUUGGUGGCUGGCAAGGCCUGAGGUACCAACAGCAUGUCAGAUGAUUCUGCCAAAAGUGAUUGGAUGUCAGAGCUAGAAGAGAAAGCUUAGAUUCAUUCAUUCAUUCAACAAACAUUGAACACUAGCAUUUUGCUGGAUGCUGGGAUCACAGCAGUAAAAGACAAAGUUCCUGUCCUUGUGAAACUUAUGUCUAAUAAUGCAGCUAUGCAGAAAUCAUGUAUGCAGUCCAAUGCCUUUAGCAUACAGACAAGGAAAUCAGGAUCAUAUGGGGCACACAAAUUGCCUAAAGUCAUACAACUUGUAAGUGACAAAACAGGGCUGAAGAAAAGGUUUGAUGCUGAUUGCCUGGCUUUUUCUACUUCUUCCUUCUGUCUUACCUUCACAUUUUUCUGAAUGGUUUUUAUCUGCUUUCAUUUUCCACAAUGAUCCAUCCUAAACCAUUCUGCUACUGAAGUUGACCUUAUUGAGGUCUCCUGAGCUUGAUUAUCUAUUGAUUCUUCUAUCUUCAAGAGUUGAGCAUUUUAUCCCUUAUUUAUAGAGCAACUUCCUUCCUUUAUAUUAUUUUUCCCCCUUUAAGUUAUAUUCAAAGGCUUUACUACCUUCUGUAGUUAUUUCAUUUCUACAAAUGGGUUAAAUCCUUAAAUCUUUGUUUAAGAGUGGGUUUUUUUUUUUUUCUUUGAGACAGAGUCUUACCCAGUUGCCCAGGCUGUAGUGCAAUGGCGCCAUCUCGGCUCACUGCAACCUCCACCUUCCGGAUUCAAGCGAUUCUCCUGCCUCAGCCUCCCGAGUAGCUGGGACUACAGGUGUGCACCACAACAUCCAGCUAGUUUUUGUAUUUUCAGUAGAGACAGGGUUUCACCAUGUUGGCUAGACUGGUCUCAAACUCCUGACCUCAGGUGAUCUUUCCACUUCGACCUCCCAUAGUGCUGGGAUUGCAGGUGUCAGCCACCACAUCUGGUCUUAAAUCGGUCAUUUUUACAGAAGAGUACAUGCUACAUGAUUCCAUUUCCAUGACAUUUUUGGAAAGGGAGAUCCCAGUUAUAUGAAAUUCUAAACAUUCUAGAAAAGGGAAAUGCAUCAGUAGUUGCCUAGAGUCAGAGGUGGGAAAUUACUGCAAAGAGCCACAGUGGUUUUGGGGGACAGAAAUAUCUUAUUUGUUCAGUUUGGUGGUGGUUACACGUGUAUAUACAUAUGUGAAACUUGCCAAACUAUAUGCUUAAAAUGGAUGUGUUUUAUUGUUUGUAGAUUACACUUCAAUAAAGUUGACUUUUUGGAAAAGAAACCUUUUGAAAUAGGCUUGCCUCUCUGCAAAGAAACAACUAGGAUCUGCCAACUACAGAGUUCAGACUUAAAAUGCAAAAACUUAACUUCAGAGAGUGAGACU